This 143-nucleotide microRNA precursor is filed under the name Myotis lucifugus (little brown bat). RNAcentral's name for it is "miRNA (ENSMLUG00000020350.1)". The stretch from base 47 to 98 matches the Rfam family "mir-1302 microRNA precursor family". Lineage: Eukaryota; Metazoa; Chordata; Mammalia; Chiroptera; Vespertilionidae. The record is from RNAcentral.
CAGGAAUUAGAGUUAACUUUGAAUUUCAGAUAAACAACAUAUAAUUGUUUUAGUAUAAGUAUGUCCCAUUCAAUAUCUGGGACAUACUUAUACUAAAAAUUUUCCAGUAUGUAUCUGAAAGUCAAAUGUAACAGGGUAUCUAU